AACCGCAAAGGGCUCAGUAAACCAGUUUUAAUUUACUAGAGUUUUUACGUUUUGUACGUGGAUACCUGUGGUAAUUCUAGAGCUAAUACAUGCAAUAAAGUCCGGACCAGAAAUGGAAAGGACGCUUUUAUUAGAUCAAAACCAUUCGCCCAACUUGUUUGGGCGUUAUUUUGAUGACUCUAGAUAACACAUGUGAUCGUACAGUCUUGAACUGACGACGUCUCUUUCAAACGCCUGACUUAUCAGCUGUCGAUGGUAGACUUUGUGUCUACCAUGGCCCUCACGGGUAACGGGGAAUCAGGGUUCGAUUCCGGAGAGGGAGCCUGAGAAACGGCUACCACAUCCAAGGAAGGCAGCAGGCACGCAAAUUACCCACUCCCGGCACGGGGAGGUAGUGACAAAAAAUAACGAUACGGGACUCUAUUGAGGCCCCGUAAUCGGAAUGAGUACACUUUAAAUCCUUUAACAAGGAUCCAUUGGAGGGCAAGUCUGGUGCCAGCAGCCGCGGUAAUUCCAGCUCCAAUAGCGUAUAUUAAAGUUGUUGCGGUUAAAAAGCUCGUAGUUGGUUCUGCGUGCCGCGCUGUCGGUUCGCCGCCUGUCGGUGUAACUGGCAUGUCGUAGCAUGUCCUGUCGGUGGUGAACAAGAUUGCCUAGCUAUGAAGUUUGUUUCAAUGCAGGCCGGAUUAGCUGUGAAGUAAUUUUGUUUGCCGAUCUCUCCUGCUCCGGUGCUCUUAAACGAGUGUCGAGGUAGGCCGACACAGUCACUUUGAACAAAUUAGAGUGCUUAAAGCAGGCUGAAAUAUCUGCCUGAAUAGUGGUGCAUGGAAUGAUAAAAUAGGACCUCGGUUCUAUUUUGUUGGUUUUAGGAAGAUGAGGUAAUGAUCAAUGUGGACAGGCGGGGGCAUUCGU
Molecule: ribosomal RNA, 909 nt
Filed under: Ademula sp.
Lineage: Eukaryota; Metazoa; Arthropoda; Insecta; Hemiptera; Reduviidae
Description: SSU rRNA
Rfam family: Eukaryotic small subunit ribosomal RNA
Source: RNAcentral